AAGUACACAUGUUUAUUUACAUUUUAAUGUUUCAUUUUAAACUGGAGAAUAUGUAGUGAUUAAAGACUAACAUGCUUCAAACCUCAGGGGGAAUGUUGCCUGUAGAGUCCCGAAUUUCUUGCCUAAUGAAAUGAACCUGACAGCCCCUCUCCUUUUCAUGACAUAUUUUUGAUUCGAAUACAGUGGAAGUAUUUGUAAAAAAGCUCAAAUAACAGGAUUCAAAGCACAAUCCUCACACAGAGACUUAAAAGACCCUUCCUCAGAAAUCCAGAAACCAGAUUUGGGGUUAGAAAAAUUGUUUCCAUCCUUCAUAUGCUUUAUAUAGUAAGCCUGGACUUUCAUCCUGCUGUACAAGCCGUGUCUUGAAUCUCACCCUGAGUUACGUAUUCUGUGUUUCAAUCCUUCUUCACAGAACUUCAAAUUCCCUCUCAAAUGCAGUGUCCAGGGCUGCAGAACAUGUCUAUUUACAUCCUUAAGCAGCUUUCUGCAGACUAGCUGGCUCUCCCCAGGACUGUACACAAUCAUUAAGCUCAUCUGAGCUUGCUCCUAGCCACUGACACCCUAGAAGUACUACCUGAAUGAGAAUUUAAAGCUUGAGUAGGUUUUAGAUAAUACUAAAGCUACGUGGUGCAAAAAAUCAUACGUGCAAAGACAAAUGUAGCCCCAGUCUGUAAUGGUUCAGCAAUUCAACUGCUUGUCAUGUGCUGCAACUGGCAAAACAAAAGAGGGAGAAUUGUACUUGAAUAUAAGACAACAUGGCACAUUUAGGAAUUACACCAAACACCAGUGUUUAUUCUACUUCCAUUUGUAAAGCAGGAUCCAUCAUUUACUCACUUCUGAGACUACGAAAAGACACUUUUCUUUUCCUCAGAAGCUUGCAAUGUAAGUGCCCAAUCCUAAACAUCAUCAGUGUCACUCAUCCUUGUGCAGGAAGCAGUGCACUGACAGCACAGCAUGAGCAGUGUUUCAGUCUAGACCUGCACAUGAGUGAAUUUGGAGCAGGGGCUAACUGUGGUGAUCAGACCUGUUCCUGACCAAGGUUCCUCUCUGCCCCACGCCUGCAUGGCCCUGUCCCACCAGGCUGUGCUGCUCUGCCAUUGGCACAAACGUUUGCAUGACAUGGAAAUCUCCUGCAUGGGGCAACAAUGUGUGGUACAGUAACUUCUUAAGCUGUUCCAGCUGUUUGCAAAUAAAAUAUGCGUCUAAGCCCCCAGUCUAUACAAACUGAUUUCUGAGAGGAGCUGUAUUUGUGUGACUGUGCCAGAUCAGGGCCAUUACUAACUGCAGAGGAGCAUAAACAACUCUAGAGAGAGAAAAGAUUUUGAGAAGGCACCAGUGACAAGGAUAGCAUGUAAAUCCCAUACCUCUUGGUGAGAACUCUCUUGUUAACAUAUUUAGUUGACAGUCACACACUUUUGCACUCCCAUAUAUUUUAAGGUUUGAAGUCACUUGUUCUGUCUCUCAAGUUUGCUCAGCCUAGCUUCUUGUGCAGUUGAAGCAGCUUCCAUUUUCACGCUGCACAAAAACACAAGCAAUACCAUAACACAUAAGAAUAACAGUUUAAUGGAAACAUAGAGCCAAAUGCUAAAUGUACUGAAUUAAGUGGAAUUAAAGAAAGAAUAAAUAUGGUCCAUUCCCUCCUCCAACUUCAGUACUGUCCUCUCCAACACUGUACAUAUAAUCUCACAACACAAUAACAUUGCUGUACUCACUCUGUGCAAGCAGGAUCAUUCACUUACUCUUUGUUUCACUCCUACAAUUUUCAAAUAGCAAAAUUCAGUUUCAGGCAGUGCUGUUCUCAAAGGGCUGCCAGACCUGCUACUCCUCUGCCUCACUGCUGCCAGAUUGCUCUACAGUGGGACAAGACCUGCCCAUGUCCAGUGAUGCUCAUACUGAGCAGAAGCAAUAAUUAAACCCUUUAACCUUAGUGAAGGUAAAAAGCAAGAUGGAUGUGUGCCUAAUGGGGGAGAAACAGGUACAUCUGCAUCCUGGGCCAGCACUGCCUCCUCCAGCCCCCGAGCAGCAGCUGCCCAGGGCUGCAGAAUGUUCAGUAACACUUUCUUGUGCUAGAGACUGUGCCUUGUGAGGGGCCUACCUUUAAUGUUUUGCCUAGAGCAACAAAAUCCUUAACGGGUGCUGGUUGCCACAUUCAGGGGAGCCUGCAGGAGCUGCUUGCUGCUGACUGGGAAAGCACUCACUGCUUCUCAAAGCAAAACUACUGUGACACUUUAGGAGUACAGCCCUUUAAACCACCUGUUCAAAUCUGCUAAUCACAGGUAAUCUUGGCUCUUCAAGGGGAUUACUCAAAGACAAUCAAAACACUAAAAAAACAAAGACAAAAACUGUUACUGGUAAUUUGCAUCAAUUUCUUGUGAUGUUAUGCUAUAAUUUUUGCAAUAAUUGUAACCAAUAACAUACUAUGUAAAGUUCUCAAGGGAUUGACUCUCUGUUCAGAAAUUAACUGUAGAAUAUGUUUUUUAUUUCUUAUUAUUCUGCUUUCUUAUUGUCAUUCUCAUAAAAUCAAGCAAAGUGAUAAGUGGAAUGUCUAGAAACAGCCAGAAUUUAAUCUGGAUGAAUUACACAAAAUAUAUCUGUCCUGGAAGCAUAUCUGCUUUUACGGAGUUAUAUACCACCCUGUGGUAUAUACAACAGAAUACAACAUUCUGCACCUGAAGCAUUGGCACAUAUCGACAAGAUUAUAUUAAUUCCAGUGUAGAAAGCUGACAUUGUUGGAUACUGCUUGGAAAUGUGCAUGUUGUAAAACUGGAAAAAAAAAAAGCUACAAAAUUUGAACUUAAUUGAAAAUACUUUCAUUUUAUAGCAAACCGUAUUGUAGAUGUUUACAUAGUAUUCAAUAAAUAUUAGCCAUAAACCCUAAUUUAACCCCAGAUUUUGUUAGGUUCAAGAUUUUUGGAAAAUCCAGGUGUCAUCUCAAAUUUUGUACGCUUUUAACUGCCAGUCCCAGCCCCCAUUUAGGUAGGCAAGUCCUCCCUGGUGUGGCCACACAGUCAAGGGGCAAAACUGCCUUGGAGGCACUCGGCCUCAGUGUGCCCCUGCUCUGUUUUGCCUCUGGAUCCCAUGGUUUCAGGAUCAGGAGGUUUAUGUGUAAAGCUUGUAAAAUCUUAGAGGAAUACAAAGGAUAUUUUGUAAAGUUUCCCUAGAAACAUCUUUUUCAAGCCAUGUGGUGUUGCUGGAUAGGGAUUUAGUCUAUCCAAAUAAAACCAGUAGCACUUUUCAAUGCAUAGAGCACAAAUUCAUCAAGUGGCUCAGUUGCAAUGUGUUCUAGGUUCCUGGAAAAUGAAAGGUUGGAUCAGAUGUUCUUUUGAGGUCUCUCCCAGUCAUUCUAUGAUUCCAUUACAGGGCAACAUGAUUUUACAUGGAACUAUAUUAUUCACAUGCUUGAUGCUUUAUUAUACCUUUCAAAAUCAAAUAAUCAAUAUAAUUUGGGCUUUAUUGCUGAAAGAAUGAAAUUGCUUGACUGACACAUGAUAGUGAACUAAUGACAUUAGAAGCUCUGGCUCUUUUAUUUCUCUUUCGCUCAGAAAAGAGCAAAACAAUCUGGAUUUGUUCUGAAUAAAAUUGCAAUACUGCAGGCUAAAACUUUACUUCUCAAUCUAAAAACUUUCCUUCUCAAUUUAAAUUCAUUUUAAAUUGUUAUGCUUUACAAACUUCCAAAUGGGAUUCUAAUUGUUGACAGACAUUUUACAUUACAUGUGUCUAUCACUUUGAUUUAAUAUGCAUUUUCAAUGAAAUUUAAAAAAGGCCUCUAAGGUGGCAAUUUAACAGCAAGACAUGCUGUGAAUUUUAGAUAUAAAAAAUAUCUAGUUUUCAAGGGUUUUUUGUACAUGUGAAAAUGGCCCUCCAGAAAAAAAUAAAAAAAAUCAGAGAACGUCUGUAUGGCUGAGUUAUCAGAAGCUAAAUAUCUCCAAGAACAUUACCUACUGUUUUAAUCAAUCACAGUCAUCAGAGGCAAACCAGGUUUUACAUUUAUGCAGCUUUUCAGUAGUACACUUCAAAAAGUAUUAACCAUAAAAGAAAUAAAAUGUAUUUGGAAAUCCUAUGUCUGGUUUAUUACAUCUCAUGACCUGAUUUAAUUUUCUUCUACAGAAAACCCACAUUGAAAUGUCUGUAAGUAAUAGGUACUUGUUGUCAACUUUGAUAAGAGACAUUUGAAAGGAAUGCCAAAUGUAUUGUGAAAGAUAAGAGAACAGCAGCUUUUCUGUGUCCCUAAAAGAGUGGAAACCAGACUUAGGAGAGCACACAACUACAGAACAGACCUGUUCUAUAUCAUGCCUACUUUUGAAAUAAUCGGAAUUGUAGUUAAUGUUUAAACCCUAAGCUAUAGACAUUGACAGCACAGUGGGAACAAUUCUCUAUCUUUAACUUAAAAUUUUUAAACCAAAAUAUUCACUACCUUUAAAUUCUUGCAUUUUCUCCAUAACAUUAAUGAAAACAUCUUAAGUUGGCUUAUUUUAUAUAAAUAGCUUUAAAUAUCUUAUUUAAGAGGUCCUGCAGGGUAUCCCUAAACCUACACUUGAUGGCAAGAAUAAACAUUCAUUAAACUUCAAAGGCUGCCAAAAAGUCUAGUUAUUUUGAUUUAGGGGAAUCAUUUAAAUUAAUCCCUCAGCCUGUGUAGAAAAUAUAUAAUGUAAUCCAUUUCUCUGUCUCUAGCUUCAAGUAACACUGGAAACAGAAAUACUGCUUUACUAAUAUUUUCUGUUUUGAAAAAACUGAGGAAAAAGAAAGACUUCAUGUAGUUUUGAAGAAUUCUGGCUUAGUGUCAUUAAGAAACAAAUAUUAUAAUACACAACUGUGUACUUACAUUUCUGUGUAACUGCUGUUAAACCUACACGCACAAUGGAGUUCUUCAGUGGGAGCAGUAAAACCAGAUUUUAUGUUUGUGUGUGAGUUUAUAUAUGUAUCUGUAAUUUUUUUUAACAAAAGAAUCAAUUUUUUGGAGUGGCUUUCUGCCUUACCACCUCAACUCAACUGCGUGCUGCUGUGCUACACAUCUGUUUCUUUAACACAUCUUUUUUUGCUGAGGCCCCCUUAAAAUUUGGGAGAAACCUUAGUAUGAUGAAGAGCUUGGUUUAAAAUGAUUUUUUAUUUUAAAAUGAAUGCACUCUUCAUCUGAAAGAAGCAUGUAGGGCAUACGGUGUCAGACGCACCAAGGAAAAAAAUAAAAGGAAGGAGAAGCUCAGCUAUUGUAAAUCACUGUAAUGCCACUGAGGCCAAUUCAGACAAGCUGAGGUUGUGGCCUAAUAUUUGUGCUGAAAUGUUGCAGCCAUAGCUGUAUCCCUGAGCUGUAUAAAUAUUUGUAGAAAGCUGGCUGUUAGGGUGCAAGGGGUGGAUUGCUCAUCAGCAAAUAGUGAGGGCCCUUGUCUUUUCACCUUUCUUAAGGAAACCUUCCCUUUUUGAGGGCUGGGAAUUUUGACUGAGUACAUGUAUGAUCUUUUUUACUUUGUGCAUGGAUCGUUCCACGCGUGUGCAGUGGGACAGGAAUUUCCAUCUGGACUUUUGAACUUGCACCCGCCUGAGUGUCCGGCCCUGAUUCAUGCCAUGCACUGUACAUGAAUGACCAGCAAUGUUUACAAAAUGAAUUAGCUUGACUCCAACUCUCCAGCCAGAAAGUAAUCAAAAUGAAGAGCCAAGCUAUUUCUGAAAUUCCAGCUUCCCUAGCUAGAAACUGCAUGCUCUGUCUCGCUAGUCAGGGUAUUAAUGCAAAAUGUACAUGUUCUAUACUGGAGGACAAUUAAUAACAGCAGUGAUUCUGAGCAGUCGACAGACAUUAACUAUUCCACCCCCAAACUGCUCUUGUGUGGUGGGCAAGUCUGACUGCAGCACAUGGUACAGAGGAAAAAAAAAUGAGUGAAAAUAUCUAUAUCCAUAAGUGAUUAUUCUAUGAGAUGUAGUAUGUCCUUUUUUGUUCUUUCUUCUCCCAAAUUAAAUUCCAGUUAACAUUUUAUUUCACUUUUGUAUGAAUACAUGUAUUCAUGGACAUAUUCAGGAAUCUUAUUACGCAAAUAUUUUCAGUAGGGCUACUCAUAAGUGGUAUCCCUAAAAUAUUGGAAAUUUGAUUUAUUUUCCCAUCAACCAUCCUAAUUUUAGCAUUUAGGAACAACAGAACUAUCUUCAGAAUAAUCUCAUCCUAUAAAAUACAUUAGCCUUUUCUAAAUUUAAUAUAAAACAUUGUUAUGAAAGAAGACAAUGUUACAUGAUACAUUCUGUUUAAGAUGGUCUGAAACUCAAAAUGUAUCACUGAAUUUUCCCUCUGAAAACAAACCUCCUGAUCUGAAAAGCCCACACCAUAUAAAGCUGGAGAUGUCUCAGAGCCAAAUUGUUUGCUCCUGUAAAUGGUUAGAGCUCCACAGAGGGGGGAUAUGAAAUAAGGCUUUGUUGAUUUUACAGCAGAGCAUCUGAACCACUUCCCCCGCCCUAGUCCAUUUAAAGCAAAAUUAAAAGUAAAAUAAACCCCAAAUUAGCAUGUGAGCUCUUCAUUGGCAAAUUGGCAUAACUCCACUGGAUAUCUGACUUAGGCAGGGUUUUCAGGACUUACCACCAAGAAGAUCUCAGCCAUGGUAUUUUAAUGGUGAUUUCAUGUGAACCUGAUUCUUCAUCCUUAUUCAGGCUGAAAACCAGGAAUGCACUACAGAGAUAUAGAUCAGUUGAGAAAUUGAUUGUUUUCAGGGAGGGAGGGUAAGUGGUUCAGUUAUUCCAAAAUUAGCAACUGCUUGUGUGGUGUAUAGCUCAGGCCAAAUGACCAGUGAAUGAUGCUGCCCAAAACCUCCCCAUCUAUAUCAUACCUGCAUCCAGCCCCUGGUGACUUUUAUUUCCAGAAUGGACUAGCAAAUCCAGGACUGAUAAAUUAAAAAUAUCUGAAUGAAAUAGCCUGGCAGGAUAUCUUUAACAUUACCUAAAAAUCAGAGGUUAAUAAAUAGUUAAAUUUAGCUGUAGCUUCUCUUAAGUAGUUUGAACAUAAGUCAAUAUUUUCGUCUUUUGUUGUCUCAGGGUUUCUACAGGAGCAGAGAGAAUUUCAUCAAUGAUUUUUCUACACUUUAUAGCAUUAUGCCUUUGCGCUAUUAUCCUUCUGUAUCCUUAUCUAACAUGUUAUCAACUGUAUGAAAAUAAGUAGCAGUCCCUUCAGCCCACUGCAAGUAUCAAUAGGAAGAAUGACAGUGGCUAGUUUGCACACUUGAAAUGGUUUAUUUGUUGCAAUCCUGUGCACAAGAUGUUUAUCAGUAAGCACCAGACAGCCAUGCAGAAGAAGGAGCCUUAAUUCUGUCUGAGACAGCCUCUUAUUGCUAUUGAUAGUUAGCAUCAGUGUCCAGUCUGAGAAAUGGAAGUGCUGCAGGCAACUUCAGUCAAGACACCCUAUUGAUCUACUGCUUCCUCUGCGUCCCUGAAGCUAGAGAAGAAAAAUAAAAAGGGGAGGAAAAGCCUGCUGUAAAAGGGGCAAUGCAGCAGUCUGUGUCUUGCCAUCAUUCAAAGGGGUGUGUAUGUGCAUGGAUAUUCCUGAUAUUCAGUACCUUAGACAACUGUAAAUCACAUGCAUAGCUAUGAUAAAUAUAAAUGUCAAUGUGUUGGAAAUGUCCUUUAUAUAAGAGGUGUCACUAGAACUACAUUUUUAGCAUGAAACAUUUUUUCUGCUUUUUAUUUUUCAUUGACUUAUUGUGCUUCUGUUAUAUCCUGUCUAACACAAUCAAUCUAAAGCAUAAUAUCUGAGAGUCCUAUUCAUAAAUAAUACAUAUUUGGGUCAUUUUCAUUUGUAUCCUACAAUGAAGAUUUACAAGCCAGAAACAAAACAAGAAACAAUGUGUGGAAUGCUCUUAUUCAGUGGAUAAGAAUAUAUUACUGUGAUCAAUUAAUCUGCUUUUCUCUGCAUUAGGUGGACAUGUUUAUGGUGCAUCCAUAAGGGUUUAUAACUUGGGAGAGACAGAAUCAGCUCUAAGGCUCUAACAUAAAAUGCCUGUACUCAGAAAAGAGAAACUUUUCCAAAGUUUUUUUGCUUGGUUGAGCCUUUUUUUUCCCCAUUGUUGUUGUUUUCCAAUAAUAAAUGUGUUAAUUUUGGCAAACUCAACUACAGCAAUAACUUAUCCAUCAACGUAGUAUGAUACUCUGCCCUAUAGUCUACCUCUCAUGUUAAAUGAAAUGACAAAUUGACUACAGUAAAUCUGGGGAUUUACAUAGUGUUAUUCAUUCAAAGAUACUCCCAUUUUACUACAAACCACACGAUUCAUUCUACAGGAGGGAAGACUGACACACAGAAAGGUCCCAGCUCUGUUUUUAGGGCCAAGAAUUACUAGGCACAAUUAAGUGAAAAAGAGACAAAAAUCUGUGCAUAGAAAUUGCAUGGGAACA
This 8358-nucleotide long non-coding RNA is filed under the name Taeniopygia guttata (zebra finch). RNAcentral's name for it is "lncRNA (ENSTGUG00000028206.1)". Lineage: Eukaryota; Metazoa; Chordata; Aves; Passeriformes; Estrildidae. The record is from RNAcentral.